Molecule: ribosomal RNA, 1081 nt
Filed under: Staphylococcus aureus
Lineage: Bacteria; Bacillati; Bacillota; Bacilli; Caryophanales; Staphylococcaceae
Description: partial 23S ribosomal RNA
Rfam family: Bacterial large subunit ribosomal RNA
Source: RNAcentral
UGGAAAGAUGAAUCAAAGAAGGUAAUAAUCCUGUAGUCGAAAAUGUUGUCUCUCUUGAGUGGAUCCUGAGUACGACGGAGCACGUGAAAUUCCGUCGGAAUCUGGGAGGACCAUCUCCUAAGGCUAAAUACUCUCUAGUGACCGAUAGUGAACCAGUACCGUGAGGGAAAGGUGAAAAGCACCCCGGAAGGGGAGUGAAAUAGAACCUGAAACCGUGUGCUUACAAGUAGUCAGAGCCCGUUAAUGGGUGAUGGCGUGCCUUUUGUAGAAUGAACCGGCGAGUUACGAUUUGAUGCAAGGUUAAGCAGUAAAUGUGGAGCCGUAGCGAAAGCGAGUCUGAAUAGGGCGUUUAGUAUUUGGUCGUAGACCCGAAACCAGGUGAUCUACCCUUGGUCAGGUUGAAGUUCAGGUAACACUGAAUGGAGGACCGAACCGACUUACGUUGAAAAGUGAGCGGAUGAACUGAGGGUAGCGGAGAAAUUCCAAUCGAACCUGGAGAUAGCUGGUUCUCUCCGAAAUAGCUUUAGGGCUAGCCUCAAGUGAUGAUUAUUGGAGGUAGAGCACUGUUUGGACGAGGGGCCCCUCUCGGGUUACCGAAUUCAGACAAACUCCGAAUGCCAAUUAAUUUAACUUGGGAGUCAGAACAUGGGUGAUAAGGUCCGUGUUCGAAAGGGAAACAGCCCAGACCACCAGCUAAGGUCCCAAAAUAUAUGUUAAGUGGAAAAGGAUGUGGCGUUGCCCAGACAACUAGGAUGUUGGCUUAGAAGCAGCCAUCAUUUAAAGAGUGCGUAAUAGCUCACUAGUCGAGUGACACUGCGCCGAAAAUGUACCGGGGCUAAACAUAUUACCGAAGCUGUGGAUUGUCCUUUGGACAAUGGUAGGAGAGCGUUCUAAGGGCGUUGAAGCAUGAUCGUAAGGACAUGUGGAGCGCUUAGAAGUGAGAAUGCCGGUGUGAGUAGCGAAAGACGGGUGAGAAUCCCGUCCACCGAUUGACUAAGGUUUCCAGAGGAAGGCUCGUCCGCUCUGGGUUAGUCGGGUCCUAAGCUGAGGCCGACAGGCGUAGGCGAUGGAUAACAGGUUG